This 32-nucleotide transfer RNA is filed under the name Puccinellia distans. RNAcentral describes it as "partial tRNA-Phe". Lineage: Eukaryota; Viridiplantae; Streptophyta; Magnoliopsida; Poales; Poaceae. The record is from RNAcentral.
GUCAGGAUAGCUCAGUGGUAGAGCAGAGAAAC